Molecule: ribosomal RNA, 496 nt
Filed under: uncultured bacterium
Lineage: Bacteria
Description: bacterial SSU rRNA
Rfam family: Bacterial small subunit ribosomal RNA
Source: RNAcentral
CUACGUGCCAGCAGCCGCGGUAAUACGGAAGGUCCAGGCGUUAUCCGGAUUUAUUGGGUUUAAAGGGAGCGUAGGCUGGAGAUUAAGUGUGUUGUGAAAUGUAGACGCUCAACGUCUGAAUUGCAGCGCAUACUGGUUUCCUUGAGUACGCACAACGUUGGCGGAAUUCGUCGUGUAGCGGUGAAAUGCUUAGAUAUGACGAAGAACUCCGAUUGCGAAGGCAGCUGACGGGAGCGCAACUGACGCUUAAGCUCGAAGGUGCGGGUAUCGAACAGGAUUAGAUACCCUGGUAGUCCGCACAGUAAACGAUGGAUGCCCGCUGUUGGUACCUGGUAUCAGCGGCUAAGCGAAAGCAUUAAGCAUCCCACCUGGGGAGUACGCCGGCAACGGUGAAACUCAAAGGAAUUGACGGGGGCCCGCACAAGCGGAGGAACAUGUGGUUUAAUUCGAUGCAACGCGAAGAACCUUACCUACUCUCGACAUCCAGAGAACAUUC